This 491-nucleotide ribosomal RNA is filed under the name uncultured Aeromonas sp. RNAcentral describes it as "bacterial SSU rRNA". It matches the Rfam family "Bacterial small subunit ribosomal RNA", at positions 30 to 507 of the family's 1533-position model. The record is from RNAcentral. Lineage: Bacteria; Pseudomonadati; Pseudomonadota; Gammaproteobacteria; Aeromonadales; Aeromonadaceae.
AUUGAACGCUGGCGGCAGGCCUAACACAUGCAAGUCGAGUGGCAGCGGGAAGUAGCUUGCUACUUUUGCCGGCGAGUGGCGGACGGGUGAGUAAUGCCUGGGGAUCUGCCCAGUCGAGGGGGAUAACAGUUGGAAACGACUGCUAAUACCGCAUACGCCCUACGGGGGAAAGCAGGGGACCUUCGGGCCUUGCGCGAUUGGAUGAACCCAGGUGGGAUUAGCUAGUUGGUGAGGUAAUGGCUCACCAAGGCGACGAUCCCUAGCUGGUCUGAGAGGAUGAUCAGCCACACUGGAACUGAGACACGGUCCAGACUCCUACGGGAGGCAGCAGUGGGGAAUAUUGCACAAUGGGGGAAACCCUGAUGCAGCCAUGCCGCGUGUGUGAAGAAGGCCUUCGGGUUGUAAAGCACUUUCAGCGAGGAGGAAAGGUUGGUAGCGAAUAACUGCCAGCUGUGACGUUACUCGCAGAAGAAGCACCGGCUAACUCCGUG